RNAcentral lists this small nuclear RNA (25 nucleotides) under Arabidopsis thaliana (thale cress). RNAcentral describes it as "snRNA_14619". Lineage: Eukaryota; Viridiplantae; Streptophyta; Magnoliopsida; Brassicales; Brassicaceae. The record is from RNAcentral.
UUCGGCGUUCGAAUUGUAGUCUGGA